CUCCCGCCGGCGACCGGCGCACGGGUGAGUAACACGUAUGAAACCUGCCCGUAGCAGGGGGAUAAGCGGAAGAAAUUCCGUCUAAUACCGCGUAACAACCCGAGGAGGCAUCUCCUCGGGUUUAAAGGAAGCGAUUCCGGCUACGGAUGGUCAUGUGUCGCAUUAGCUAGUUGGCGGGGUAACGGCCCACCAAGGCGACGAUGCGUAGGGGUUCUGAGAGGAAGGUCCCCCACACUGGUACUGAGACACGGACCAGACUCCUACGGGAGGCAGCAG
Molecule: ribosomal RNA, 276 nt
Filed under: uncultured bacterium
Lineage: Bacteria
Description: partial 16S ribosomal RNA
Rfam family: Bacterial small subunit ribosomal RNA
Source: RNAcentral